Molecule: unclassified non-coding RNA, 236 nt
Filed under: plant metagenome
Description: partial contains small subunit ribosomal RNA, internal transcribed spacer 1, and 5.8S ribosomal RNA
Source: RNAcentral
UUUCCGUAGGUGAACCUGCGGAAGGAUCAUCACUGAGUGAGGGCCCCUCGGGGUCCAACCUCCCACCCGUGUUUAACGAACCUUGUUGCUUCGGCGGGCCCGCCUCACGGCCGCCGGGGGGCAUCUGCCCCCGGGCCCGCGCCCGCCGAAGCCACCUGUGAACGCUGUCUGAAGUAUGCAGUCUGAGACAAUUAUUAAAUUAAUUAAAACUUUCAACAACGGAUCUCUUGGUUCCG